This 254-nucleotide ribosomal RNA is filed under the name uncultured bacterium. RNAcentral describes it as "partial 16S ribosomal RNA". It matches the Rfam family "Bacterial small subunit ribosomal RNA", at positions 523 to 776 of the family's 1533-position model. The record is from RNAcentral.
UGACGGAGGGGGCUAGCGUUGUUCGGAAUUACUGGGCGUAAAGAGCUUGUAGGCGGUUUGUCGCGUCUGCCGUGAAAAUCCGGGGCUCAACCCCGGACUUGCGGUGGGUACGGGCAGACUAGAGUGUGGUAGGGGAGACUGGAAUUCCUGGUGUAGCGGUGAAAUGCGCAGAUAUCAGGAGGAACACCGAUGGCGAAGGCAGGUCUCUGGGCCACUACUGACGCUGAGAAGCGAAAGCGUGGGGAGCGAACAGG